GAUGAACGCUGGCGGCGUGCCUAAUACAUGCAAGUCGAGCGAACGGACGAGAAGCUUGCUUUUCUGAUGUUAGCGGCGGACGGGUGAGUAACACGUGGAUAACCUACCUAUAAGACUGGGAUAACUUCGGGAAACCGGAGCUAAUACCGGAUAAUAUUUUGAACCGCAUGGUUCAACAGUGAAAGACGGUCUUGCUGUCACUUAUAGAUGGAUCCGCGCUGCAUUAGCUAGUUGGUAAGGUAACGGCUUACCAAGGCAACGAUGCAUAGCCGACCUGAGAGGGUGAUCGGCCACACUGGAACUGAGACACGGUCCAGACUCCUACGGGAGGCAGCAGUGGGGAAUAUUGGACAAUGGGCGAAAGCCUGAUCCAGCCAUGCCGCGUGUGUGAAGAAGGUCUUCGGAUUGUAAAGCACUUUAAGUUGGGAGGAAGGGCAGUAAGUUAAUACCUUGCUGUUUUGACGUUACCAACAGAAUAAGCACCGGCUAACUUCGUG
Molecule: ribosomal RNA, 497 nt
Filed under: uncultured bacterium
Lineage: Bacteria
Description: partial 16S ribosomal RNA
Rfam family: Bacterial small subunit ribosomal RNA
Source: RNAcentral